AUUGAACGCUGGCGGCAGGCCUAACACAUGCAAGUCGAGCGGAUGAAGGGAGCUUGCUCCUGGAUUCAGCGGCGGACGGGUGAGUAAUGCCUAGGAAUCUGCCUGGUAGUGGGGGAUAACGUCCGGAAACGGGCGCUAAUACCGCAUACGUCCUGAGGGAGACAGUGGGGGAUCUUCGGACCUCACGCUAUCAGAUGAGCCUAGGUCGGAUUAGCUAGUUGGUGGGGUAAAGGCCUACCAAGGCGACGAUCCGUAACUGGUCUGAGAGGAUGAUCAGUCACACUGGAACUGAGACACGGUCCAGACUCCUACGGGAGGCAGCAGUGGGGAAUAUUGGACAAUGGGCGAAAGCCUGAUCCAGCCAUGCCGCGUGUGUGAAGAAGGUCUUCGGAUUGUAAAGCUCUUUAAGUUGGGAGGAAGGGCAGUAAGUUAAUACCGUGCUGUUUUGACGUUACCAACAGAAUAAGCACCGGCUAACUUCGUG
RNAcentral lists this ribosomal RNA (484 nucleotides) under uncultured bacterium. Its description in RNAcentral is "partial 16S ribosomal RNA". It matches the Rfam family "Bacterial small subunit ribosomal RNA", at positions 30 to 507 of the family's 1533-position model. The record is from RNAcentral.